RNAcentral lists this transfer-messenger RNA (363 nucleotides) under Salmonella enterica. It matches the Rfam family "transfer-messenger RNA". Rfam says of the family: Bacterial tmRNA, also known as 10Sa RNA or SsrA, is named for its dual tRNA and mRNA-like properties. Its role is to liberate the mRNA from a stalled ribosome. RNAcentral also lists the same sequence under 1 other name. Lineage: Bacteria; Pseudomonadati; Pseudomonadota; Gammaproteobacteria; Enterobacterales; Enterobacteriaceae. The record is from RNAcentral.
GGGGCUGAUUCUGGAUUCGACGGGAUUUGCGAAACCCAAGGUGCAUGCCGAGGGGCGGUUGGCCUCGUAAAAAGCCGCAAAAAAAUAGUCGCAAACGACGAAAACUACGCUUUAGCAGCUUAAUAACCUGCUUAGAGCCCUCUCUCCCUAGCCUCUGCUCUUAGGACGGGGAUCAAGAGAGGUCAAACCCAAAAGAGAUCGCGUGGAUGCCCUGCCUGGGGUUGAAGCGUUAAAACGAAUCAGGCUAGUCUGGUAGUGGCGUGUCCGUCCGCAGGUGCCAGGCGAAUGUAAAGACUGACUAAGCAUGUAGUACCGAGGAUGUAGGAAUUUCGGACGCGGGUUCAACUCCCGCCAGCUCCACCA